GCCUCUGCUCCCCACUCGGCUGUAAGCCCAGUCCACAGACCCUGUCCAAGUCCACUGGGGCAAGAAAAAGAGUAGAAUGGAAGCCAAGGGAUAGGCCACGCAACAAACUAGCAGCAGAGCUAACAGUAGGACCAAAGUCGUCUCCCGCCCUCAAUGAACUUCUAAUCUAUUUGGUAACAGAAGACAUAUCCACAAUAAACAAAGCUGAUCUAGGUACCACAUGAGCAAGUACCAGCUAUGCGACAAUGGAAAAAGCGCCAAAAUAAGAACACAUCAGAUAGAAGGGUAAAUAGCCAAUAAUGUCUUCUCUUUAAAUCCAUGGUCAAACACACCAAAUGCAGCCAUUUCAGCAUGACCAAAAGGCGUACUUUGUGGAACAAGGCUCCCCAGCCUGUUUUUUGGCUUUAAAAUAAGACCCUGCCGAUCCUGAUCUCGUCUUUGCAAACGCAUGGCACUGGGAGACAGAGACCAUGUGCAACAACAACUCUGUACAGACAAAGCCACUAUUCAUGGACCCUACUGAAGUGCAAUCGUAGAUUUUCAAUUUCAUUCAGCUGAGUGCGGAAGGCUCCCACUAUGAGGGUGGGUUGCUAAAUGGUUCAGCUGGGAAAAGCACCCAGAAUGAGAGUCAGCUUUACAGUCUGCACUUUCAUGAGGAGAAAUGAAAGCGAUUCCCUCACUCCAACUGCAGUUUUACAGUAAAGACCUAAUCUAGCAAAUCAGCCAAGGGCACUGAGUGAUUUUUUUCUGUAUCACAUUGGUACCCAGAGCAUAGCUUUUUUUUGUUGUUGUUAGGGCGGUUGCUAGGGUAAGUACCAAGAAAGCAGCUCAGUAAUUCAUGGAGUUAAAACUUCCACAAGAGGGGACGGAUAAUGUUGGUCCCUCAAGCCCUCAGCUAGACCAGACAAGUUUUCUCCUUUCUCGGAAUACAAUAUGCAUAUUUUUACCUUCAAGUCCUUCCUUACCUCACACCACUGCUUUAGUUCCACUCAUUCUCUGGGGUCUAGUUAAAUGAAGACAGCUGACACUUAUCCAGCAUGCACUG
Long non-coding RNA from Rhinopithecus roxellana (golden snub-nosed monkey), 1045 nucleotides. RefSeq lists it as uncharacterized. The transcript has 3 exons. Lineage: Eukaryota; Metazoa; Chordata; Mammalia; Primates; Cercopithecidae. The record is from RefSeq and is a predicted model, not a curated record.